UUAUAUUUUUUCAUGAUUAAGACUUCCUAAUUAAUUUAGUCUAUAAAGUUAUUAUUCAUAAAUUAAAACAAAAUAUUCAGGAUCUAUUUUCCUUGUAAUGGUCGUUGUGUGUGGGACAGCUUGGUUUUGGUGGUCGCUAGACCAGAUCUUUGCUGUAGACCGAUGAGUUGACGGCGGCUUUAGAAAGCGCCUAGCUAGCCUAGCAUUUUACUUAGAAUUUGAGGCUAAAAGAUUAAACAAUUGCAAUGAGUUCCGAUAUUGAAGACCACGUUUUGAAAAAAUAUGAAAUCAAGAAAAGAUUAGGAAAAGGCGCAUAUGGAAUAGUGUGGAAAGCAAUUGAUAGAAAAACAGGAGAGGUUGUUGCCUUAAAGAAAAUAUUUGAUGCAUUCCGAAAUCAAACAGACGCACAGCGAACGUUUAGAGAGAUAAUGUUUCUUCAGGAAUUUGGUGAUCAUGAGAAUAUUGUCAAGUUAUUAAAUGUUAUGAAAGCGGAGAAUGACAAAGAUAUAUACCUGGUGUUUGAAUUCAUGGAUACGGAUUUACAUGCAGUGAUAAAGAAAGGUGGAAUUCUAAAGGAUGUACACAAGAGAUACAUCAUGUACCAACUUCUAAAAGCAACUAAAUACUUGCACUCUGGAAAUGUCAUACAUAGAGAUAAGAAGCCAUCAAACUUAUUAUUAGAUUCCGAAUGCUUUCUGAAAGUUGCUGAUUUUGGUCUGGCGCGCUCAAUUACACAACUGGAAGACGACUUUGAUCACACGAACCCAGCACUUACUGAAUAUGUGGCAACCAGAUGGUACCGUGCUCCAGAGAUUCUUUUGGCUUCCAAAAGAUACACAAAAGGAGUUGAUAUGUGGAGUAUAGGUUGUAUACUUGGUGAAUUAUUGAAGGGUAAACCCCUUUUUCCAGGAACAUCAACAUUUAAUCAAAUUGAAAGAAUCAUGAGCCUGAUUGAAAGACCUUCAAAGCAAGAUGUUGAGGCGAUCCAGUCCAACUAUGGCGCAACAGUAUUAGACAAAGCAUGCGUAAGGCAUAGGCAAACAUUUGAAGACAUUCUGCCAGAUGCACCGGCGGAUGCUAUAGACCUCCUAGCCAAACUCCUUCCUUUCAACCCUGACAAGAGACUGACUGCUGAACAAGCCCUUGCACAUCCAUACGUUGCUAGGUUUCAUAAUCCAGAUGAGGAGAUUUCAUUAGAUUAUGAUGUUGUACCUCCAUUAGAUGACGAUGUGCAAUUAUCUAUUAACGAAUACAGAGAAAAGCUUUAUGAGAUGAUGCGAGAGAAAAAGUCACAAAGUAGGAGAAUACGAAGAGAGAUUAAGAGCGCCCCAACAACCAAAGAAAUUCCCCCACCUGCAGAGCCUUACCAUUCUGAAAUAGUUACAUCACACCGUGCCAAUGGCCUAUUAUCAGGAAGGCCAAAGUCAGCAGCACUGAACGCUUCAGGGGCAGCGCCCUCUGCCUAUGCUCAAUAUUCAGAACGUAAAUUGCAACGACCACCGUUGUGUGCCAACACGGUGCGUCAACCUUUAGGCAACUCCAAACAUCCUUACCACGGUUCUUCCUCACUCUUGCCAGGUCGUACAAAUCGAAAUCAAUAUGCGACAAUAGGAAACGUGCACAGAUCAUCUAGGGUUGCGGAUUAUGUAACUAGCCAACAAUCUAAAGAAGGUGGAAACAUAGUUAAUGGAUAUGCAAAUGAGAACACUCAUCGGUCUGCAAGAAAACCAGUUGUGCAUCAACGAACCCGCUCUUUUUCAGCCGGUAUGAAGAAUGCAACAAUCACACGAGACAGUGAUAGGGGUACAUCAAGCAAUGAGAGUUUAGGAAUGAAAACCUCUAAAGUGAUUCCACAACAAAGACCCAUCUCAGCUAAGGAUUCCAGCAGGCAACAGCAACAGAGAACUGUCUCCUAUGGACGCAAACAAUUCGGAUUGAAAAACACAGGUUCAUCUGGAGCUCCGAAGUCAGCGCUAGGCAGCUACAGCCAGUCAUAUGGGACGGUUAAAGCCAGCACAUUAGGACAAUUGAAAACUAUGAAAUGGUAACACAGAUACUUGCGUUGUCGUUCAAGUUGUCAGGGCUGAAAAUUAACAAUUCAUAUAUUUUGACUAAAUUAUGCUCAUUUCAGCUACAAUGCUUUGUGUAUUUUAAUUGGCAGAAAAUACGACAGCCAUCUUGUAUGGUAUACAACACACAGCUCUGCAUAUUUCGAACAUCGAAUACAUUGGAGUUAGCGCUUUAGUAUUCUUAUUAUGGUUCAUUUACUAUAAAUCAUCUGACAAAAGUAUAACUGUGUAUUUGUUCACUGCAUUACAUGGGAUUGUGCCACAUUAGUACUCUGCGACAAUCAUUCCUGGCAUGUGCAAUCCAAACUACUUAUAUCAUGGAUUAUACUAUGGUCACAUGCAUUUUUGUACCUUGAAUAUCUCAUAAAUUUUACCUCCACUCCACCUCCACUGGUGAUAAUUAAAGAUAAUACUGGUAUACCUUGAAUAAUUUGUGCCCUGGUAUCAUACCAUUGACCACCUGAACCAUGCCAUAGACAUUAUGUUACAUGGACCUUAUAUACCUUGGAUUUUUCAUUCCCUGUAUCAUCAUGGACCAUUCCUAGUAGUGAUGUACCAUGGACCGUCUGCACCAUGAUAUUGUGAACCAUUCAUACCAUGCACCAUUAUUCCUGCUCAUUAAUAAUUCAUUUGUUUACUGUAUUGAUGUUUGCCAUUAAAUACUAGAAAAUAUUGUCUAUAUAAGAGUAGUACUUAAUUUUGCUAUAUAAUGUUUACCUAAAGAUGUAUUUAUCUGGCAUAUCUUUAAAUAUAUAAAACUCAAGUUUUGAUAUGAAAAAUACUGUAAUCUUUAAAUAUUUUUAUUAUUUAUUAUGCUUUCAAUGCGUUACUGUUGUGAAAUACUGUUUAGAUAUUGACUAAAACUCUGGCUAAUGGCAGUGACUAUAGGGAGGGAAGCACCCUUCCCAAACCAUCCCUCUUAGGUCAUGAUCCUCUACUGCCCUACUAGAAAUGGCAGUGAUUAUAGGGGGGAAGCACCCUUCCCAAAUCAUCCCUCUUAGGUCAUGGCCCUCUACUGCCCUACCAGAAAUAUCUGGAUAUGGCCAAAGUUUUAAAAUGUAUUUAUUUGUCAGUAAAUUUAAAGGGGCAUCUGUCCCUCCUGCUCCUACUUAGAUCCAUCACUCUGUGUUAUACAGUAAUUUGUUAAUUGUUUGUAUUGCACCAAUUUUUACUUGUAUUAUUUGUAAGAUAAUAUAUAUCUAUUCACAAUCCGUCCUUUGUUUUAUUUGCAAUGAUGUUAAUGUAUUCCAAAUGAAGAUUAGUUUUUGUUUGUGUGUUGUACUGAAGUGUGAGUAAUUAUAGAUUCCUUGUCCAUCGUAAUAAACAACUUAUUUUCCCCUAAUAUUUAUACCUUGUGAUUAAAGUAGCUUUUUUGUUUUUUAGAAGAAAAAAAAUUGGCUAUACAAAAGUUGUGUUUUAAAUCUAUUAUAAGAUUGUUUAAAACAUUUUACAUAGAGCACAGUCAGACCUGAUUGGCUCCCCAAUCAAUGCUAGUCUGUGUUAUGCAUAUACGCUUCUAUUGGUCUGUGUACAUUUUUUUUUUUGACUGGAACCAGCCAGGCUCCAUGAUGCAACACUUGGUUUUCUAUAUGGCAUUGAUAAAAUAAAUAAUAAAUUCUCAAUAUUUAGAGACCGUAUCAUCACAGCUAAUUAUAUAGGCCUACUAUGUAAAGGAGAACAAGUUUUAACAAUCUAAUUUGACUUUUUGUGUUUAUUUUCAUAGGGUAUUAUGAAAGGUAUAAUAUUACUUAUACUGUAAACUUUAAUAACAGCACAAUAGCAUUUUUAUAUGUAUGGGGUAAUAAAAAACGUGCGAUUUAAAACAAAGUGAAAGGUAGUAAGACGAUGGGGUUGCCAGCAAUGUGAAGUUUAAUAAGAGGCUGUGAUUAAAAAAGAAGGAAGGGGUUAUAUGAGAGUGUGGCUGCAACAAGGGAAGGUGAAAUAUAAUGUAUGGAGAGGAAGAGAGGGGUAACAGCGGGGAUUUAAAAUAUGAGGAGGAAUAGUAUGAGGGUGUGCUUGACAACAAAGGGAGGGUAAUAAGAGGGUGAGAGUGACUAUAGUACAUGUGGAUGGAAAAUAUCAGUGUCAUUGACAAGAAAGAGGGUAAUGAAAGUGCAUGACAGGAAGUCAUAUAAUGGGUUGGGUUUGAUAAAGGGAGGGGUAAUAGCAGUGGGUUAACAGAGUGUGAGGGUAAUAAAUCAUGGGCGGUUUGACAAGAGAUGGGUAAUACUGUUAGUAAGGAGGGAAAUAAUAUAAAAUUAUAGGUGUAUAUCAUAAUGUUAGAAGUUCUGUUGAUAAAGUCAAAUAAAGAUACAGAGACGAUGUUCA
Molecule: unclassified non-coding RNA, 4397 nt
Filed under: Anneissia japonica
Lineage: Eukaryota; Metazoa; Echinodermata; Crinoidea; Comatulida; Comatulidae
Description: extracellular signal-regulated kinase 2-like, transcript variant X5
Source: RNAcentral